Pelobates cultripes (western spadefoot toad) is the source of this 240-nucleotide non-coding RNA. The record is from the annotation of a GenBank genome assembly. Lineage: Eukaryota; Metazoa; Chordata; Amphibia; Anura; Pelobatidae.
GUUCCAAUUCCUGUUCCCAGAUCUUAAUCAAUUUGUAGGGAGAUUCCUUAAGACCUUCCAACAUGGAAGCUGCAACAGAUGUAACCUUUUUAAUAGAAUGAUUGCUAAAUAUAAAUUCUAUUUUUUUGGCAAAUAAAGAAGAAGAGUUGAUAACAUUUUUAGGAAUGAAAUGUUUUAAACGAAGAUAGGUGAAAAUUUCUCUCCAUGGUAUAUGAAGAGUAUCUAUAAUGGAUUGAAAAG